GGCAUGGUUGUCGUCAGCUCGUGUCGUGAGAUGUUGGGUUAAGUCCCGCAACGAGCGCAACCCCUAUUGUUAGUUGCCAUCAUUCAGUUGGGCACUCUAGCGAGACUGCCGGUAAUAAACCGGAGGAAGGUGGGGAUGACGUCAAAUCAUCAUGCCCCUUAUGACCUGGGCUACACACGUGCUACAAUGGUUGGUACAACGAGUUGCGAGUCGGUGACGGCGAGCUAAUCUCUUAAAGCCAAUCUCAGUUCGGAUUGUAGGCUGCAACUCGCCUACAUGAAGUCGGAAUCGCUAGUAAUCGCGGAUCAGCACGCCGCGGUGAAUACGUUCCCGGGCCUU
RNAcentral lists this ribosomal RNA (339 nucleotides) under uncultured Streptococcus sp. Its description in RNAcentral is "bacterial SSU rRNA". It matches the Rfam family "Bacterial small subunit ribosomal RNA", at positions 1042 to 1382 of the family's 1533-position model. The record is from RNAcentral. Lineage: Bacteria; Bacillati; Bacillota; Bacilli; Lactobacillales; Streptococcaceae.